GUAUUCUGUUUUAGAGGCAACUAAAGGCCUUUAUCUCUUUCUAUUUCGUACAUCUGGAGUAUGAUAAAAACAUAGAGCUACUUGGGAAACACAAGAGCAGCCAUCUGCGGCAGCUCCCAAGUUCCGAGUGGUAUUCCCGGCAAAUGCCUCCAAGCCUCUACAAAAGGUGCACAGGGGUUUGAAAACUGGGUUGGCAGGCGUGCACAUGCCCUAGAAGAGGCCAGCAGCAACCUGACCGAGUUAUUCAUUAAUGAUCCUUCCGCAGGUUCACCUACGGAAA
This 280-nucleotide unclassified non-coding RNA is filed under the name uncultured fungus. RNAcentral's name for it is "sequence contains ITS1". Lineage: Eukaryota; Fungi. The record is from RNAcentral.